GACGAACGCUGGCGGCGUGCUUAACACAUGCAAGUCGAACGGAAAGGCCCUGCUUUUGUGGGGUGCUCGAGUGGCGAACGGGUGAGUAACACGUGAGUAACCUGCCCUUGACUUUGGGAUAACUUCAGGAAACUGGGGCUAAUACCGGAUAGGAGCUCCUGCUGCAUGGUGGGGGUUGGAAGGUUUCGGCGGUUGGGGAUGGACUCGCGGCUUAUCAGCUUGUUGGUGGGGUAGUGGCUUACCAAGGCUUUGACGGGUAGCCGGCCUGAGAGGGUGACCGUCCACAUUGGGACUGAGAUACGGCCCAGACUCCUACGGGAGGCAGCAGUGGGGAAUAUUGCACAAUGGGCGGAAGCCUGAUGCAGCAACGCCGCGUGCGGGAUGACGGCCUUCGGGUUGUAAACCGCUUUCGCCUGUGACGAAGCGUGAGUGACGGUAAUGGGUAAAGAAGCACCGGCUAACUACGUG
This 468-nucleotide ribosomal RNA is filed under the name uncultured bacterium. RNAcentral describes it as "partial 16S ribosomal RNA". It matches the Rfam family "Bacterial small subunit ribosomal RNA", at positions 28 to 507 of the family's 1533-position model. The record is from RNAcentral.